RNAcentral lists this ribosomal RNA (253 nucleotides) under uncultured bacterium. RNAcentral describes it as "partial 16S ribosomal RNA". It matches the Rfam family "Bacterial small subunit ribosomal RNA", at positions 524 to 776 of the family's 1533-position model. The record is from RNAcentral. RNAcentral also lists the same sequence under 1 other name.
UACGUAGGGGGCAAGCGUUAUCCGGAUUUACUGGGUGUAAAGGGAGCGUAGGUGGUUCGGUAAGUCAGAUGUGAAAGCCCGGGGCUCAACCCCGGGACUGCAUUUGAAACUAUCGAACUAGAGUGCAGGAGAGGUAAGUGGAAUUCCUAGUGUAGCGGUGAAAUGCGUAGAUAUUAGGAGGAACACCAGUGGCGAAGGCGGCUUACUGGACUGUAACUGACACUGAGGCUCGAAAGCGUGGGGAGCAAACAGG